Heteronotia binoei (common prickly gecko) is the source of this 677-nucleotide long non-coding RNA. RefSeq lists it as uncharacterized. NCBI's taxonomy places the organism in Eukaryota, Metazoa, Chordata, Lepidosauria, Squamata, Gekkonidae. The transcript is spliced from 3 exons. The record is from RefSeq and is a predicted model, not a curated record.
UGGGUGGUCUUUUCCUAGGAAGCAGAGCUGAGGAAGAGCUGCUGCCAGGAAAAAACCCUCGCCCUUAGAGGAAGGGUUUCCCUUGAUUUCUGAAGUUUCCACUCAUGUCUUCAUUCUGGAUUUCAUCUGGUGAUAAAGGAUGCUGUUCCUCAUCUUCCUCGUUAUGCUGAUCAUUCCCUGUUGGAAUAAAGAGAGAUCCUUUAAGAACCCAUGCAAGGAGAUCUAAUCUGCACCUGAAGUUUCAUCCAUAAUCCAAAUAUUUCAGUGUCUUCUUCCUUCUGUACAUUGAAGCAUACAAGAAUAAAGGGGACAGAGAUCUGGAGGAAUAAAGACUAGAAAGGCUUCAGGAAGAAACUAUUGGAGACUUCAGGCGAAGCUUCUUUGACCCAGCAUGACCUCAUCAGUGGGAGGGAAAAGAGAGAUAAGACGUCUGAGAGAAAGAAAGAGGGGCUCUUUUGUGCUCACUACACUUGAGGGAGAAGCCUGAAGUUACUGGAACUCCUGCAAAAAUCUGUAACUUUUUAUGCUAAGGAGCCCUCCUUAAACUUAAGAAUUAAUAGGAUAUGUAGAGAGGGAGAUACACAGAAAUUGCAUUUUAUUCAUUUCUUUUCAGUCCCUUGUUGUUCUAUGAGUAUGCUCAUAAAAGGUCUUUUGUUAAUAAACACUUUAUAACUUUU